AGUUUGAUCCUGGCUCAGGAUGAACGCUGGCGGUCUGCUUAACACAUGCAAGUCGAACGGAGUGCUUCGGCACUUAGUGGCGGACGGGUGAGUAACGCGUGAGAAUCUGCCCGUAGGACGGGGACAACAGCUGGAAACGGCUGCUAAUACCCGAUGUGCCGAGAGGUGAAACAUUUUAUGGCCUGAGGAUGAGCUCGCGUCUGAUUAGCUAGUUGGUGGGGUAAGAGCCUACCAAGGCGACGAUCAGUAGCUGGUCUGAGAGGAUGAUCAGCCACACUGGGACUGAGACACGGCCCAGACUCCUACGGGAGGCAGCAGUGGGGAAUUUUCCGCAAUGGGCGCAAGCCUGACGGAGCAAGACCGCGUGCGGGAGGACGGCCUAUUGGUUGUAAACCGCUUUUGAUAGGGAAGAAGUACUGACGGUACCUAUCGAAUCAGCAUCGGCUAACUCCGUGCCAGCAGCCGCGGUAAUACGGAGGAUGCAAGCGUUAUCCGGAAUUAUUGGGCGUAAAGCGUCCGUAGGUGGUUGUUCAAGUCUGCUGUUAAAGCGUGCGGCUUAACCGCAUACCAGCAGUGGAAACUGGGCGACUAGAGUGCGGUAGGGGUCAGGGGAAUUCCCAGUGUAGCGGUGAAAUGCGUAGAUAUUGGGAAGAACACCGGUGGCGAAAGCGCCUGACUGGAUCUGCACUGACACUGAGGGACGAAAGCUAGGGGAGCGAAAGGGAUUAGAUACCCCUGUAGUCCUAGCCGUAAACGAUGGACACUAGGUGUUGCCCGUAUCGACCCGGGCAGUGCCGUAGCCAACGCGUUAAGUGUCCCGCCUGGGGAGUACGCUCGCAAGAGUGAAACUCAANGAAUUGANGGGGCCCGCACAGCGGUGGAGUAUGUGGUUUA
This 894-nucleotide ribosomal RNA is filed under the name uncultured bacterium. RNAcentral describes it as "bacterial SSU rRNA". It matches the Rfam family "Bacterial small subunit ribosomal RNA", at positions 10 to 948 of the family's 1533-position model. The record is from RNAcentral.